UACGUAGGGGGCAAGCGUUGUCCGGAAUCAUUGGGCGUAAAGAGCGCGUAGGCGGUUUGUCGCGUCUGCUGUGAAAACCCGAGGCUCAACCUCGGGCCUGCAGUGGGUACGGGCAGACUAGAGUGCGGUAGGGGAGAGUGGAAUUCCUGGUGUAGCGGUGGAAUGCGUAGAGAUCCGGAAGAACACCAGUGGCGAAGGCGGCCCGCUGGGCAGUGGCUGACGCUGAGGCGGCAACAGCGUGGGGAGCAAACAGG
RNAcentral lists this ribosomal RNA (254 nucleotides) under uncultured bacterium. Its description in RNAcentral is "partial 16S ribosomal RNA". It matches the Rfam family "Bacterial small subunit ribosomal RNA", at positions 524 to 776 of the family's 1533-position model. The record is from RNAcentral.